UACAGAGGGUGCGAGCGUUAAUCGGAAUUACUGGGCGUAAAGCGUGCGUAGACGGUUAUUUAAGUCGGGUGUGAAAGCCCCGGGCUUAACCUGGGAAUGGCAUUGGUGACUGUACGGCUAGAGUGUGUCAGAGGGGGGUAGAAUUCCACGUGUAGCAGUGAAAUGCGUAGAGAUGUGGAGGAAUACCGAUGGCGAAGGCAGCCCCCUGGGAUGACACUGACGCUCAUGCACGAAAGCGUGGGGAGCAAACAGG
This 253-nucleotide ribosomal RNA is filed under the name uncultured bacterium. RNAcentral describes it as "partial 16S ribosomal RNA". It matches the Rfam family "Bacterial small subunit ribosomal RNA", at positions 524 to 776 of the family's 1533-position model. The record is from RNAcentral.